AAGAGAAGGGUCUGGCUGCAGACCAUGGGCGAGUGGAGCUCCACUCUCAAACCGGAAAUACGUCACCUCCACUUGAAAACAUCAAGAUGGCGUCGCCGGGAGUACUUCAAACUUAAACUCAGAUCAAAUGUAUAUCAAGUGUUAUCCAUCCUCAUAACACCUCCACAAAUAGAGACUGAAACUUCUGAGCACCAUCACCUUGUCUGCUAUGGGACUGUCAUAGCCCAGCAAUCAGAUGCAUCAGAACAACAAAGCACAACUGUGGUGGCCCAGGCACCUUCAGCAACAAAGAUUUAACAACACUGUCAGUCAGGAGCAUAUUUAACAGGAGCCACACUCAACUGGCUUGAUGGUGACUUCAGUGCAGUGAAGAUAUUUAAAGAGACACUAUCUAAAGUACAGAAAGCCGUACAUAAUCUCUAGUUGCAGUCGCCUACAGUGCAGCCAGCUUCACAAAGACUGUGGGGCUGGUCACCAGGAAAAUGCCCAACAAGGAGUGCUUUUGGGGUUUUACUCCUCAGAUGACCACACUGGCUACUGUAGCUGGGAUUGCUUCACAGAAAAUGGAGGUCUUGAAGAGUAAAGUGUGCAUGCAUGUGAACACAUUGUGUUAUUACAGUAACAAUUAUGGUCACUUGCAGUUC
Carassius auratus (goldfish) is the source of this 644-nucleotide long non-coding RNA. RefSeq lists it as uncharacterized. The record is from RefSeq and is a predicted model, not a curated record. The transcript is spliced from 5 exons. NCBI's taxonomy places the organism in Eukaryota, Metazoa, Chordata, Actinopteri, Cypriniformes, Cyprinidae.